CAAAUCUCCAUUUGUUAACACUAAAUCUAGUAUGGCCUCUUUACGAGUUGGCUCCUCAACAACUUGUUUUAGAGACAAUCCCAGUAGGGAGUUUAGAAUAUGUGUGCUCCUGGCACAAGUAGCUAAUUUUGUUAGCAAUUAUUAGGAAGCUUGUAGGUCAGCACACUGGAAGAAUCCUAUGAAAUGUAUAGGAUAAAUAUGGAAUACAAAACAGUGGUGCAGAUACUAACAUCAGUUUACAUUGGCAAGAAGGGUUUAUUAGCUGCAUAAAAUGUUCAGUUUCAAGAAAAUUUUAUGAUUUAGCCCCCCUAAUGACAAUACUUUAAGUCUACCGCCACAUCACAAUACCAUGUUACUUACAUGCAAGUUACAAUCCAAAACAGCCCAAAAGGAAAUGAAGCACAUAAACAGUUCUGUUAAAUAGCAGCAACAGACCUGCCAGAGUUCUCUCUCCUUGCCUGAUUGUUGUUUGCAGUGGGUUGGUCAUUGUAUUUCUGAUGGGUAAAUAUGCAAAACAGAACAUGUAUGGCGGAGUAUAUUUAACUGUCUGGUCUGGAAUAGAUGUAGAGAAACACUUAUUUAAUAGAGCUCCAAACCAGCUCUAGGGUAUAUGGGUAUCUUCUUAUAAUCGGUAUAAACAUGUAAUACAAAGCAGAACAAAGGACCAAUAUAUAGUGUAGUAUUUCAAAUACACUUGGAUUAUAUAGAAUUUAUAUAUCAUAUGCACUCACAUCAUAUAGAGCCACAGGCGUCUCUAACAAGAUAUUGUGAAGUGGUAUAAUUCCCACUCAAGGAUAACGUUCAGCCAGGUGUAGUCAGCAGUAUGCGUGAUAUGUAAUAUAGUGCUCUCUGUAGACAACAGAUGAAAUAGUAAAUAAAAGAAUGAUACUUACAUGUAUCUGAGCAAUUUCGGGUAUUUCUCAAUCCUUUUGGCUUUAGUGAAUAGUAUCCCCACCAAGGAUAUAAUCAAUGUAGAGUAGAUUCAGAUGAGAGGCCACCCAAGAGCAUGAUUAAAAAAAAAAAGCUUUAUUAUAAAUUAAUUUAUAAAAGCAAGACAAUACAUAAUAAAAUUACUUUUUCUAAAGUGUACAGAGGAACUGAUUAGCGACCUAGACAAGUGGGUAGAGAAACCUAUCUCGUGGAUAGGGAGAGUUCACUCCAUCAAGAUGAACAUCCUCCCCAGCGUUCUUUUCCUGUUUUCCCGAUCAGAGGAGAUGGGUGGAACUGGAGUCACUAAUGAUGGACUCAGAUCUUCCCCAAUACUUUAUUUGGCUGCCCAAAGACCCCAGGGCGUUCCUGAGAACGGAUGGCCCGUGCAUACUUAACUCAAUCCGGGUAUGGGACAAAUACGCAGGAAAUAUGGCCUAGUUAAACUUCCCUUCCCAAUGAUGCCCCUGUUUAGGAACAGAGUAUUUCCCCAAGGGAUGAGACCCGGGACUUCAAAAAGCUGGAGACUGUGGGACUCUAAAGACUGCCACACAACUAACCGAGACCGCUUACACACCUUUAACAAACUAAAAGAGAGGGUGACCCUUACAAUCAGAGACCUCUUUCGGUACAUACAACUUAAAGACUUUCUCAACCAACCCGACAUAAAGGAAUUGACGACAAAAAACAUUACCCAACUAGAAAACGUGCUUGAAGGAAAGCAUACACAGGAAAAUGAUCUCAUCCGUCUACACACACAUAGCCUCCAACACUACUGAAUGGGGAACACUCACAUACGUUGACCAAUGGGAAGCAGACCUAGGUGAGAAACUUGAAGGAGUGGAGUGGCAGGAAAUAUGGGAAGCCGACAACACAUCCUCAAUUUGCACAACAGUACAAGAGCAGGCAUAUAAAACCAUGUUCCGAUGGUACACAACACCGGUACACCACCGCAUGCAGCAGACAUCCGAUGACCACUUCUGGAGGAACUGCGGGGCCAAGGGAACGUAUCUCCACAUUUGGUGGGAAUGCCCAGUCGUAAAGGCAUUCUGGCAGGAGGUAGGUAACCUCUUGACACAGAUAUUUCAGCGCAGGAUAGAACUAGACCCCUGGGUCUUCUUACUGUCCAGAUCAUUAGACGACUGGGUGAGAUUAGCAAAAUCUCCUACAGAAAAUAACCCUUGCAGCACGUAGAGCCCUGGCACAGACCUGGCUACAGCUGAGCGCCCCGCACGUCUCUGUAGUGAUAUAUAAAAUAAGGGACACGUGUCUCAUGGAUAGGAUGACUGCAUUUACUAGGGGGUCCUUACAGAAACAAAACAAGAUGUGGGAACCAUGGCUAAACGCAAAAAAGUCUAUAGAUUAUUAGGUCUGUCCACCUCCCGCAAGUGGUGCUCUAGACGGCUCCCUUCAACUCCCCCUCCCUCCCCGCUUCACCCCUUUCCGUUACUCGAGUUAAUUCCCCAUCUCUACUUUUCUUCUCUGGAUUACUAUGAUCAACCUCUCAACGUAGAAAGGCAUGUGUAAUGAACAUAGGAAGUGAGAAUAAAACUGUUGAGAACCUGAUCCUAUGUGGGCCGCAUUCUCUGCCCACCAGUUCUUACUAUCCAUUUUCAAAAUUGUUUGUUUCAUUGUUUUACAUUUUAUCUUCUUUAAAAAAAAAAAAUAAUAAAGUUUACUUUACAAACCUCAGUCAUAAUGUCUAACAAUAUGUCUCAUAUACAGCUUCGUUACUACUGGCCUUAUGCUGAUAAACAUGUCCACUGUGCGACUGACUGAUUAUACACAAUAUUGUAUUGUUACCUCUGUGUUGUAUGUGGAACCCUGUCUUGAACUAAAUAAAGAAUUUAUUUUUUAAAAAAAAGUGUUCCUGGAAGUUACUUAUAUAGAGGUUUCAACAUUUUAGAAAGUUUGGUGCUCAAGUGAGGUUAUUCGGGUUUAUUAGUGACCUACGAUAUCAUGGGUCAAAUAAGAG
Molecule: non-coding RNA, 2902 nt
Organism: Pelobates cultripes (western spadefoot toad)
Lineage: Eukaryota; Metazoa; Chordata; Amphibia; Anura; Pelobatidae
Source: the annotation of a GenBank genome assembly